Non-coding RNA from Armillaria borealis, 73 nucleotides. NCBI's taxonomy places the organism in Eukaryota, Fungi, Basidiomycota, Agaricomycetes, Agaricales, Physalacriaceae. The record is from the annotation of a GenBank genome assembly.
ACGCCUGAUGGUGAAACGGUUAUCAUGCUUGCCUUCCAAGCAAGCGGUAGGGGUUCGACUCCCCUUCGGCGUA